This is an RNA transcript of Trifolium pratense (red clover), 2570 nucleotides long. It is a transcript of the gene named G2/mitotic-specific cyclin S13-6-like, with no coding region annotated. Lineage: Eukaryota; Viridiplantae; Streptophyta; Magnoliopsida; Fabales; Fabaceae. The record is from RefSeq and is a predicted model, not a curated record. The transcript is spliced from 5 exons.
GAUUUUUUGAUCCGUUGUGAAAGGUUGGUUUUAGGGUUUGCUUCUAUUUCUUUGUUUCCUUUUCACUGAUCGUCUGUUGUAAAUGUAUUGAUAUGCUUUUCUCAGAUUGUAGAUAACAAGAAUUUUACAGAAUCACACUUUUUAUAUUUUUAUGGUUUGAAUCGUUGCUUCAAAAAUAGGGUUUUUCAUUCUCAUUCUCUCAUUCCUAUUCAUUAAUUCUACAAUCACAGAAGAGAACAACACUCUCUGAUUCUACCACCAAGAAUCAAUCAUACAAAAAAUCAACAACAACAAGAGUUUUGCAAUGGCUUCAAGAAUUGUUCCUCAACAACAACACAAAGGAAACAGGUGAAAAAGAACGGUGCAGCAGGUGAAGGAAGGAACCGAAGAGCACUUCUUGAUAUUGGAAACGUUGUCACUCUAAAAGGUGUUGAAGUCAAGCCAAAUCGCCCUGUCACAAGGAGUUUUUGUGCACAACUACUUGCCAAUGCAGAAACAAGCUUGUGCCAAUGGAGAUUCGAUCCUCUCCUUCACUAUUCUCUCCACUUCAGGGACUUGGUUUGGAGAACUUUGCUACUCUUCUUUCUUUAUUCAUAGCUUUUUUUACAACUAUUUUUCUCAACCUUGUUAACCUUUCUGUUUGAAGUGGAGAAAUUAAAGAUGAUUGCCUCUGUGCUGGGAUUAAUUUGGCAAUGUGAAUUUAUAUUUGAACACCUCUGCACACGUACACACACACACUUCUCGAUUAUUCUUUGCAAGCUUGGACGCGAUAACGGUAAAUCAUCCUUAGGAUAUAAUUGGUCUUUUUAUUUUUUUUAUUUUUGUUAUUAUAUGCAUAUGUAUUUGUUCCCAAAUAAUUGUUCUUUGAUCAUGGUUUUGUUUGGCAAUGUGAAUUAAAGAUGAUUGCCUCUAUGCUGGGAUUAAUUUGGCAAUGAGAAUUUAUAAAGGGAAGCGUGUACGUUGUCGCACUCCCUGCCUUCAAAAGGUGCCUAGGUUAUUCUUUGAAGCUUGGACGAGAUUAUCAGAUAACAGUGAAUCAUCCUUGGGAUAUAAUUGGGGAGAGAGCCUAUAAAUGUAUGGUUUACUGUGGAACCCAUGGCAGCCCGAGGUUCAAAUACUUAGCUUGGGAUUUUGGAUAGUGUCAGAGUUUACUCUGUAUAUGUAUCAGGAAUGCAAGUACGAGUGAAGCAAGGAUGAGGAAUUCCCUACAACUUAGUUUGGCACAAGAAUCCGCGCUUUCAUUUUGGUUAUCUCUACUCUGACUGAAUUCUUCACGUUUCUUUGUAUUUUUAGAAGAUCUGGUUUUUUAUAUUACAAGGACCUGUUUUUGCUUUGGUGUUACAGGGGAGAGAGCUAUGAAUGUACAAUGGGAUUUGGAAGCUUUGAGCCUUUGGAUUCAACGGGUUAUUUCUUUCCUUGAGUGUUGUUUGUUAUGAAAUAGGGUGUCAUAGUAUAAUGUGGCAGUGCUUGCAUUUAUUUUUGUUUAGAAUUAUGAAAUCGAAUAUUAGCAUUGCAUUUCUUUCUUGGAUAAUAAAGAUAUAAGUCAAAUUUCUUCAAUGAGUUGCUCUUUACUAUUUUUUAGUUUUGGGCUUUGUUCAUAAUUGAAUUUAAUUGUAAAUCAACUUCAGGUGGACUAGUUUAGCUUCUUCUAAAAAAUUGUAAAUCAACUUCUCUGCGGCAUGGUUUCCCAAAAUAAUGUUUUUCAUGAGUUUUGAUUUGGUUAUCUCUUGUAAAUUAUUUUCGUUUCGUUAUUUCUUUAUCGAUUCUGAGAGCAUAUAAGUCUUGAUUAGUUAUUUUCUCUUUGGUUCUGCAAGAGAGGUAAUCCAUAAACACAAGGCAUGGUUUUAUUUGUUUCCAAAUAGUCCUUCUUUGAUUCAUGUCAAAGAUAAAGAUAUAAGUCUGGAUGAAAAUUUGGUCAACUCUUCUAAGAAUCUUUACAUUUCAGUCUUUUUUUGAUACUCAAUAUAUACUUUUGAGUUUUCUUUGUGGGUGUUACAGGGGAGAGAGCCUAUAAAUGUAUGGUUUACUGUGGAACCCAUGGCAGCCCGAGGUUCAAAUACUUAGCUUGGGAUUUUGGAUAGUGUCAGAGUUUACUCUGUAUAUGUAUCAGGAAUGCAAGUACGAGUGAAGCAAGGAUGAGGAAUUCCCUACAACUUAGUUUGGCACAAGAAUCCACGCUUUCAUUUUGGUUAUCUCUACUCUGACUGAAUUCUUCACGUUUCUUUGUAUUUUUAAGAAGAUCUGGUUUUUUAUAUUACAAGGACCUGUUUUGCUUUGGUGUUACAGGGGAGAGAGCUAUGAAUGUACCGUGGGAUUUGGAAGCUUUGAGCCUUUGGAUUCAACGGGUUAUUUCUUUCCUUGAGUGUUGUUUGUUAUGAAAUAGGGUGUCAUAGUAUAAUGUGGCAGUGCUUAUAUUUAUUUUUGUUUAGAAUUAUGAAAUCUAAUAUUAGCAUUGCAUUUCUUUCUUGGAUAAUAAAGAUAUAAGUCAAAUUUCUUCAAUGAGUUGCUCUUUACUUUUUUUUAGUUUUGGGCUUUGUUCAUAAUUGAAUUUAAUUGUAAAUCUACUUCUC